Long non-coding RNA from Oryctolagus cuniculus (rabbit), 2294 nucleotides. RefSeq lists it as uncharacterized. The record is from RefSeq and is a predicted model, not a curated record. Lineage: Eukaryota; Metazoa; Chordata; Mammalia; Lagomorpha; Leporidae.
CAGGAAGUGAGCGGAGGGGGGGCGGCGCCCCAGCCUCAGGCCAGGCGCCGGAGGGGGCGCCGGCUGCCCCCAGAAACGCGCUCCAGAUGCGCCGGCACUGCCAGCAUUCCUGGAAGGUAACGCCAGGCCACACGGGCGGGGCCCAGCCCACUGCCAGAUGUGCGUCCCCGCAGCUGCCCCGGCUCUAAUAAGAACCCGAGACCCCAAGGGGGCCGAGGAUAGAGUUAUCCCCUGCGGACGGAGACGCGGAGACGCUGUGGCUGAGAAGAGACAGGCUUACCGGCCCAACCCGGGCAGGCAGCCCCGCGAGGCACAGGGGGUGCCGGGGGCAGAGGAGCCAGAACCGUGGGGGCCGUGCGUGCAACCGAUGGGAACGAGGCCCGCUGGGGAUCCCUGCCACUGCCGUCGGUGAGCCUGGCCACGCACGGGGGCCCCGGUGGUCCCGGCGUACACUGCGCACACUCCCUGGGCCCCCCCUCAGUCUCAGAGAACCCAGACGGGUGGAAGGAAGCUGUUCUGCGCUGAGUCGUCCGCAGCCCUAGGGGGAGGGGCGCCUGAGCCGAGACCGCCCCGGCCUCGGGGCCUCGGGGCCUCCAUCCACCCAACCAUCCGAGGACAGAGCCGCAGGCCAGAGCCUGGGAAGGGACAACUCUGGGCAGGGGCUGCCUCCUCCACCACGGCUCACACAGGAGCUGGGCGACCUGGCCAGCAGCGUCUGCCCACACUGCUCCCAGACAGGACACCGCCCCCACUGCUGCUGCUCCUCUGUCUCUCUGGACACCCAGGGCCCACGGCCAGGAGCCGCUGUCUACCAACCUUAACCCGAGGUCAUGAGAGCCUGGGCACACCUGGCCUAAGCCGAGUGUUCGUCUUGCAUGGGAAGGUGGCGUUCCAGGGACAGCAGGUGACCCACGGGCGCCCAUCACUGUGGGGACCCACAGACGGCCAUCACUCUGGGGACCCACGAGCAUCCAUCACUCUGGGGACCCACGGGCGCCCAUCACUCUGUGGACCCACAGAUGCCCGUCACUCUGUGGACCCACGGACAGCCAUCACUCUGGGGACCCACGGGCGUCCGUCACUCUGCUGGAACCAGUGGUCUUUCCAGAACACGCCACACUUCUCGGUGUCCCCUGAGGUCCAGGUCGCAGCACCCAAGGAAGACGGCAUGAAAACGCUUGGUCCCUGGUCGCCUGACAAGGCCCCGACAGGGUGGCCGAAGGCCAAGGCUGCGGUGGUGGUCUGCCCGGCUGCGGGGAAGUGAUUCCCUGAGGCCUGGAGGCCCUCACUCCGGAGAGGGGGCAGGGCAAGCGCUGACGUUCACCGCGGUCAGAGACGGCCGCCAGCUGCCAACACCAGUCACCCGGGGCCGAGCCGCGAUGCCUGUCCGCUUGCUUCCGGGAGGUUGUCCGCAUCGCCCAGGCUUCCCAGGGGAGCAGGCAUCAGUGUCUGUGCCGGCGGAAGCAGCAGGAGCAGUGGCGGUGGCACCAGGCUCCGGGCGCAGGCCCGUUUCGGGAGGCACUGCACCGCUCACGCAGGAGGCACUGCACCCGGCGCUCGUGUGUGCAGGCUGGCCUGCAGAGCCCCUCAGGAAGGUGGAGAGGGGCUGCAUCCAACCAGCCGCCCCUCGUCCCGCCCAGCACCCAACUGCUAGUCUACAUCGAGCACCCGCUGACACUUCCACCCGUCUGCUUCAGCUGACCACCUCUUCCACCCCCACUCAACCGUCCACCAAACCACCCAGCCACCAUUUCACCCGUCGGCACUCUCUCCUUACCUGUUCACCCUCAUCACCCACCAAUCACCCAUCUACUCGCCUGUCCCUCCCUCCAUCCACCCAACCAUCCAUCCACCCACGCACGCAAUACCUGCCCACUGAUUCUCCCAGCCAGACAGCCUCCCGCCCACCCAUCACUCAUCUGUCAUCUCUCCACCUAUCCGUCCGUCCGUCCAUCCGUCCGUGCAUCUGUCCAUCCAUCCAUCCGUCCAUCACGUCCCAAACUCUCCACUCCUCUCCACACUCUACUGUAGUAAAGAAUUCUUCUGGAAAGGAAUCUACCUGCUACCUGUCCCUCCCUGGCCCCGUGGAGAUGGCUGUCAAUCAACCUGGGUCUCUUCCCCACUGUAGGCGGGGGCGGUGCCCCAGGCUAGGCCAAUCAGAAUCUGCCCUGAGACAUCUGCUGGGGCCCUCUCUCCAAUCCUUGCGAUCGCUGAGUGUCAGCCUACAACUGCUGGUGGCCACCUUGGCCAGCAGACGAGGAGGACCUGCCGGAGGACGCGUGUCCCCCCCCCCC